This 30-nucleotide non-coding RNA is filed under the name Rattus norvegicus (Norway rat). The record is from RNAcentral. Lineage: Eukaryota; Metazoa; Chordata; Mammalia; Rodentia; Muridae.
UUGGUGAUAGUUCUAGAUUUCUUUGGCUUC